Molecule: ribosomal RNA, 463 nt
Filed under: uncultured bacterium
Lineage: Bacteria
Description: partial 16S ribosomal RNA
Rfam family: Bacterial small subunit ribosomal RNA
Source: RNAcentral
GAUGAACGCUGGCGGCGUGCUUAACACAUGCAAGUCGAACGGAAAGGCUCCUGCUUGCAGGGGUACUCGAGUGGCGAACGGGUGAGUAACACGUGGGUGAUCUGCCCUGCACUUCGGGAUAAGCCUGGGAAACUGGGUCUAAUACCGGAUAGGACGAUGGUUUGGAUGCCAUUGUGGAAAGUUUUUCGGUGUGGGAUGAGCUCGCGGCCUAUCAGCUUGUUGGUGGGGUAAUGGCCUACCAAGGCGUCGACGGGUAGCCGGCCUGAGGGUGUACGGCCACAUUGGGACUGAGAUACGGCCCAGACUCCUACGGGAGGCAGCAGUGGGGAAUAUUGCACAAUGGGCGCAAGCCUGAUGCAGCGACGCCGCGUGGGGGAUGACGGCCUUCGGGUUGUAAACUCCUUUCGUCAGGGACGAAGCGAAAGUGACGGUACCUGGAUAAGAAGCACCGGCUAACUACGUG